CCUACGGGUGGCUGCAGUCGAGAAUCAUUCACAAUGGGGGAAACCCUGAUGGUGCGACGCCGCGUGGGGGAAUGAAGGUCUUCGGAUUGUAAACCCCUGUCAUGUGGGAGAAAAUUAAAAUGAGAGUACCCCACGAGGAAGAGACGGCUAACUCAGUGCCAGCAGCCGCGGUAAUACAGAGGUCUCAAGCGAGGUUAGGAAUUACUGGGCGGAAGGCGUGCGUAGGCAGUGUGGUAAGUCGGGUGUGAAAGGCCCGGGCUUAACCCGCGGACUGCCGAUGAUACUGCGGGACUAGAGUGAAGGAGCGGUAGGCGGAAUUUACGGUGUAGCAGUGAAAUGCGUAGAUAUCGAGAGGAACACUCGUGGCGAAGGCGGCUUCCUGGACAUUAUCUGACGUUGAGGCACGAAGGCCAGGGGAGCGAAAGGGAUUAGAUACCCCUGUAGUC
Molecule: ribosomal RNA, 446 nt
Filed under: uncultured bacterium
Lineage: Bacteria
Description: partial 16S ribosomal RNA
Rfam family: Bacterial small subunit ribosomal RNA
Source: RNAcentral